Molecule: non-coding RNA, 207 nt
Filed under: Lachnospiraceae bacterium
Lineage: Bacteria; Bacillati; Bacillota; Clostridia; Lachnospirales; Lachnospiraceae
Description: 6S RNA
Rfam family: 6S / SsrS RNA
About the family: E. coli 6S RNA was the first non coding RNA to be sequenced, but its function was unknown until recently.
Source: RNAcentral
ACAAUCCUAGAGUGUUCGACACUCCUUGCAAUUUUGAACCUACAAAACUUUAAACGGGAUUCCUAUAUUGCGUGACGGAUGUCAGGCCGCAACCUCAUCGCCCGGAUCAUAUCCGGCCGCAGCGGAAGGCAGCAAGUCAGGCUGCGGUCACCCACCUGGCUGAUAGCUAGGAGUCAAAAUGCGGGAAACGGCAUAUCCGGGAUUAUU